RNAcentral lists this ribosomal RNA (743 nucleotides) under uncultured bacterium. RNAcentral's name for it is "partial 16S ribosomal RNA". The record is from RNAcentral.
UCCGAUUACUAGUGAUUCCAGCUUCAUGGAGUCGAGUUGCAGACUCCAAUCCGAACUGAGACCGAUUUUUUGAGAUUAGCUCCACCUCGCGGUUUGGCAACCCUCUGUAUCGGCCAUUGUAGCGCGUGUGUCGCCCAGGGCGUCAAAGGGCCAUGCUGAUUUGACGUCAUCCCCUCCUUCCUCCCAGCCUACAAAUCACGAAAUGUAUUUUCAUGAUCUUUAGGCUGGGCAGUCUUGUAUGACAUAUCUAACAUACAAUAGGGGUUGCGCUCGUUACCCCACUUAAGGGAACACCUUACGGCACGAGCUGACGACAACCAUGCAACACCUGCUGAACACCCUCGAAGGCAUAUUUGUUUCCAAAUAUUGCAGUUCAGUUUCAAGCCCUGGUGAGGUGCCUCGCUUACCAUCGAAUUAAACCACACGCUCCACCACUUGUGCGGAUCCCCGUCUAUUCCUUUGAGUUUUAAGCUUGCGCUCGUACUUCCCAGGCGGCAUACUUAACGCGUUUGCUUCGACACUGAGGAGGUCGAUUUCCCCAAUGCCUAGUAUGCAUCGUUUACGGCACGGACUACUAGGGUAUCUAAUCCUAUUCGCUCCCCGUGCUUUCGUGACUGAGCGUCAGAAAUGUGCCCACCAAAUGCCUUCGCCUUAGGUAUUCCUCAUGGAUAUCAACGCAUUUCACUACUACACCAUGAGUUCUAUUGGGCCCUCACACUCUCUAGAAAUGCCGUUUCGAACCC